GUAGGGAAUAUUGGUCAAUGGACGAAAGUCUGAACCAGCCAUUCCGCGUGCAGGAAGAAGAUUCUAUGGAUUGUAAACUGCUUUUAGCAGAGAAGAAACGCCUUCAUUGAUGAGGGUUUGACGGUAUCUGCGGAAUAAGCACCGGCUAACUCCGUGCCAGCAGCCGCGGUAAUACGGGGGGUGCAAGCGUUAUCCGGAAUCACUGGGUUUAAAGGGUGCGUAGGCGGGAAAUUAAGUCAGUGGUGAAAGUCUGUUGCUUAACGAUAGAAUUGCCGUUGAUACUGAUUUGCUUGAAUUGGGUUGAGGUUAGCGGAAUGUGACAUGUAGCGGUGAAAUGCAUAGAUAUGUCAUGGAACACCAAUUGCGAAGGCAGCUAGCUGGGCCUUGAUUGACGCUGAGGCACGAAAGCGUGGGUAGCGAACAGGAUUAGAUACCCGGGUAGUCC
Molecule: ribosomal RNA, 445 nt
Filed under: uncultured bacterium
Lineage: Bacteria
Description: partial 16S ribosomal RNA
Rfam family: Bacterial small subunit ribosomal RNA
Source: RNAcentral